RNAcentral lists this ribosomal RNA (984 nucleotides) under Triticum aestivum (bread wheat). RNAcentral describes it as "partial small subunit ribosomal RNA". Lineage: Eukaryota; Viridiplantae; Streptophyta; Magnoliopsida; Poales; Poaceae. The record is from RNAcentral.
AUGGCUUCGUCGGAGAAGCGCCGGGCGAGCACCUCGCCGUCGGCCACCGCCCUCGCUCCCACCACAAACCCCGCCUCUUCGUCGCCGUACUUCCUGCCGGAGUUGAUCCCGUUGGUCGCGAGCCGGCUGACGACCCUCGAGGACUUCUUCGCCCUCCGCGCCGCCUGCCGCGCCUACCGGGAUCUCCUCCCGCCGUCGCCGGCCAACCUCGCCUCCCAGGGUCCGCUCCUUCUCUUCCCCCGCAUGGCCUCUGCAUCGGGGGCCCUCUUUCACGUCCCCCUCCGCCGCAUCCUCCGCUUCCGCCUCCCCUGCACAGACCUCCGCUCCACCGAAUUCCACUCCUUCGGCUGCCGUGUUGCCAUCCAGGACCGCCGCCGCGAGCUCCGCAUCCGGCACCUCCUCACAGGCGAGCGAGCCCGCCUGCCUGAUCCCCCGGAACCGUGCUACUCUGAAGAAGUCGUCUUUUCUGCCGACCUCGUCGUCACCUGCAGGCAAUGGGGCCGGGUCCUCUACUACUGCCACAUUGGGGACGCUCGCUGGCGAGCAGCGCCGUGCGAUGAAGGCCACCAGCUUUACAAUAUGAUGUUCGUCAAGGGCACCCUCUAUGUGCUGAUUUACCCGCAUUACCGCCUUGCUGUCGUCGAGCUUGACAAGAAUUCAGUGGUAUUGUCGUUUCUUGGAGAUAAAUUGAGUGUGCCAGAAGUUAACAUUUUUCCAGGUCCAAUGCUCUGGCUAGCAGAGUGUCGUGGUGAGUUAUUGCUCAUUGUCGAGGUGCAGUUCCUUCCAUGUGUGUACCAUGUUUUCUAUCUGCAAUCCGGGGAGGGGAAGUGGGCGAGGACUACUAGCCUUGGUGGUUGCAGCUUGUUCUUUAAUUUGGAUAAGUUUGCCGGUUGCCUUGGUCCAGAUCAUCCGGCAGUUCGGAGGGAGGGACUGCUUGUACUUCACUGGGUGCUCCGGGAAGUGGAGCGAGUAUUCUUUGGCUGA